Non-coding RNA from Pelobates cultripes (western spadefoot toad), 491 nucleotides. Lineage: Eukaryota; Metazoa; Chordata; Amphibia; Anura; Pelobatidae. The record is from the annotation of a GenBank genome assembly.
AUCUUAAGCAGGUCAGGGUUUGAAUAUUUUUUUGCACAGAUAUAGCUAUCAAAUGAUCUCCUCUCCUGCUCACAAAGGCAAAUUCAUCAAUUCUAGCCUGAGAACCACGAAGUAAGAUUAAAGAAAGAACAAAAAAACAUCAAGGAACCCAGCAUUUCACAGUAUAUUAUAUUGUAUUGGAUUAUAUGUGAAAUGCUUACUAAGGGAUUGGAAACAUUUGUGUUAAGGCUUUGAUUUAAGUUGCAGAGAAACUUGGAUCAGAGGUGGUGCAUUAUAGAAGGUUCUCUCUUUCGUUUUUUUAGUUUUUUGUUUCCUUUUGCCCAUGAGUUAUGAAACAUAGAAACAUAGAAUGUGACGGCAGAUAAGAACCAUUCGGCCCAUCUAGUCUGCCCAACUUUCUAAAUACUUUCAUUAGUCCCUGGCCUUAUCUUAUAGUUAGGAUAGCCUUACGCCUAUCCCACACAUGCUUAAACUCCUUCACUGUGUUAACC